GAUGAACGCUGGCGGCGUGCUUAACACAUGCAAGUCGAACGGAAAGGCCGAAGCUUGCUUCGGUACUCGAGUGGCGAACGGGUGUGUAACACGUGUGUGAUCUGCCCUGUACUUCGUGAUAAGCUUGGGAAACUCGGUCUAAUACCGUAUAUGACGAUCUCUUGGUUGGUGUUGUUGAAAGCUUUUGCGUUAUGGGAUGAGCUCGCGGCCUAUCAGCUUGUUGGUGGGGUAAUGGCCUACCAAGGCGUCGACGGGUAGCCGGCCUGAGAGGGUGUACGGACACAUUGGGACUGAGAUACGGCCCAGACUACUACGGGAGGCAGAAAUGGGGAAUAUUGCACAAUGGGAGAAAGCCUGAUGCAGAGACGCCGCGUGGGGGAUGACGGCCUUCGGGUUGUAAAAUCAUACCGAAAUCGACGAAGCCUUGUGGUGACGGUAGGUUGAGAAGAAGCACCGGCUAACUACGUG
RNAcentral lists this ribosomal RNA (468 nucleotides) under uncultured bacterium. RNAcentral's name for it is "partial 16S ribosomal RNA". It matches the Rfam family "Bacterial small subunit ribosomal RNA", at positions 28 to 507 of the family's 1533-position model. The record is from RNAcentral.